UACGUAGGCAGCAAGCGUUGUUCGGAGUUACUGGGCGUAAAGAGUGCGUAGGCGGUCCUUUAAGUUUGGUGUGAAAUCUCCCGGCUCAACUGGGAGGGUGCGCCGAAAACUGGAGGGCUUGAGUGUGGGAGAGGCAAGCGGAAUUCCUGGUGUAGCGGUGAAAUGCGUAGAUAUCGGAAGGAACACCAGUGGCGAAAGCGGCUUCCUGGUCCAGCACCGACGUUCAGGCACGAAAGCGUGGGGAGCAAACAGG
This 253-nucleotide ribosomal RNA is filed under the name uncultured bacterium. Its description in RNAcentral is "partial 16S ribosomal RNA". It matches the Rfam family "Bacterial small subunit ribosomal RNA", at positions 524 to 776 of the family's 1533-position model. The record is from RNAcentral.